AUUAGAUACCCUGGUAGUCCACGCUGUAAACGAUGGAUACUAGGUGUGCGGGGACUGACCCCCUGCGUGCCGCAGCCAACGCAAUAAGUAUCCCACCUGGGGAGUACGAUCGCAAGGUUGAAACUCAAAGGAAUUGACGGGGGCCCGCACAAGCGGUGGAUUAUGUGGUUUAAUUCGAUGCAACGCGAAGAACCUUACCAGGGCUUGACAUCCUACUAACGAGGUAGAGAUACGUUAGGUGCCCUUCGGGGAAAGUAGAGACAGGUGGUGCAUGGUUGUCGUCAGCUCGUGUCGUGAGAUGUUGGGUUAAGUCCCGCAACGAGCGCAACCCUUAUUGUUAGUUGCUACGCAAGAGCACUCUAGCGAGACUGCCGUUGACAAAACGGAGGAAGGUGGGGACGACGUCAAAUCAUCAUGCCCCUUAUGUCCUGGGCUACACACGUAAUACAAUGGCGGUCAACAGAGGGAUGCAAAGCCGCGAGGUGGAGCAAACCCCUAAAAGCCGUCCCAGUUCAGAUCGCAGUCUGCAACCCGACUGCGUGAAGUCGGAAUCGCUGGUAAUCGCGGAUCAGCAUACCGCGGUGAAUACGUUCCCGGGCCUUGUACACACCGCCCGUCACACCAUGAGAGUCGGGAACACCCGAAGUCCGUAGCCUAACCGCAAGGGGGGCGCGGCCGAAGGUGGGUUCGAUAAUUGGGGUGAAGUCGUAACAAGGUACC
Molecule: ribosomal RNA, 720 nt
Filed under: uncultured bacterium
Lineage: Bacteria
Description: bacterial SSU rRNA
Rfam family: Bacterial small subunit ribosomal RNA
Source: RNAcentral